CCUACGGGAGGCAGCAGUGGGGAAUAUUGCACAAUGGGGGAAACCCUGAUGCAGCGACGCCGCGUGAGUGAAGAAGUAUUUCGGCAUGUAAAGCUCUAUCAGCAGGGAAGAAAAUGACGGUACCUGACUAAGAAGCCCCGGCUAACUACGUGCCAGCAGCCGCGGUAAU
RNAcentral lists this ribosomal RNA (169 nucleotides) under uncultured Clostridium sp. RNAcentral's name for it is "partial 16S ribosomal RNA". It matches the Rfam family "Bacterial small subunit ribosomal RNA", at positions 338 to 524 of the family's 1533-position model. Lineage: Bacteria; Bacillati; Bacillota; Clostridia; Eubacteriales; Clostridiaceae. The record is from RNAcentral.